Molecule: transfer RNA, 69 nt
Filed under: Ictidomys tridecemlineatus (thirteen-lined ground squirrel)
Lineage: Eukaryota; Metazoa; Chordata; Mammalia; Rodentia; Sciuridae
Description: Spermophilus tridecemlineatus (thirteen-lined ground squirrel) tRNA
Rfam family: tRNA
About the family: Transfer RNA (tRNA) molecules are approximately 80 nucleotides in length. Their secondary structure includes four short double-helical elements and three loops (D, anti-codon, and T loops). Further hydrogen bonds mediate the characteristic L-shaped molecular structure. tRNAs have two regions of fundamental functional importance: the anti-codon, which is responsible for specific mRNA codon recognition, and the 3' end, to which the tRNAs corresponding amino acid is attached (by aminoacyl-tRNA synthetases). tRNAs cope with the degeneracy of the genetic code in two manners: having more than one tRNA (with a specific anti-codon) for a particular amino acid; and 'wobble' base-pairing, i.e. permitting non-standard base-pairing at the 3rd anti-codon position.
Source: Rfam by way of RNAcentral
GGGGUUGUAGCUCAGUGGUAAAGUGCUCACCUUGCAUGUGGGAGGCACUGGGUUGGAUCCUCAGCACCA